Drosophila busckii is the source of this 3833-nucleotide RNA transcript. It is a transcript of the gene named signal transducer and transcription activator, with no coding region annotated. Lineage: Eukaryota; Metazoa; Arthropoda; Insecta; Diptera; Drosophilidae. The record is from RefSeq and is a predicted model, not a curated record. The transcript is spliced from 10 exons.
GCGUGCGGACGUCAUUAUUCUUCGCGGCCAGUGAAAAAAAGAAUUAUUUUUAAUAGUAUGUUUGGUUAUUGAUAAGGUUAAACUUUGGAGAAAAGCAUAAAAAAAUAUAGAAAAAAUUGUAUAGUGUAGUUAUUGUUUUAAGACUUGAAAUAUAGAAAAAAUUGUAUAGUGUAGUUAUUGUUUUAAGACUUGAGUGUUGACUUGUUUCUUCGCGUGUGUUUGUGUUUGGUUUAAAAAUAAAACAACAAGUACAUACAUUUCGUAUCUUCGUAUAAACUAUAACAGGAAGCAGCAGCAGAACAGAAGGUCUGCUGUGCUCUGGUCCGGGCGUUUCGUUUGCGUGUAUAAAAGUUUUGCUAACCACAUAAACCCAUAUUCAUACAAUAACAUGCUGAUUGCUUGCGCAUGCGUUUUAUGGACAAAUCAAGCAUCCUGCAAUUAGCUUUCUGGGAGUCAGAAGCUGGACCUUGGCCAGGUCAACGCCGCCGCCAGCAACAGGCAGCAUGAAAAAAAGCAAACAUUUAACACACACAAACACACAUAAACACUACUAAAGAGAACAGAGUCGUCUCUCUCGAGCUUUCAAAGAUUUAACAUAGCAUCUCGUCCUUUGCCAUAUUCAUCCCUCACCAAAAUACAAGCAAUCAAACAAACACAAGAGCACCCACAUGAGCAGCAUGAGUCUGUGGAAGCGCAUCUCGAGCCAUGCCGACUGCGAGCAGCGCAUGGCGGCCUACUACAAUAAGAAGGGUCUCUAUGAGUUGCGCCUUUGCUUGGCGCCCUGGAUCGAAGACAGAAUAAUGUCAGAGCAAAUUACACCAAACUCAGCGGAACAAUUGGAGCGUGUGGCGCUCAAGUUUAACGAGGAUCUACAGCAGAAACUAUUGUCGACGCGUGCCAGUGAUCAGGCACUCAAGUAUCGCAUUGUUGAGCUCUGUGCGUUGAUUCAACGCACCCCGGCUGUUGAGCUUUAUUCACAUUUGCGCAGCGGCCUGCAAAAGGAGCUGCAGCUAGCCGCCGAGAAGAGCGCGGAUCAAUCAAUGCCGUUGAAUUCAUAUAAUAUGAAUAAUUCAGCCGCAGCGGCUGCCGCCACCGCUGUUGCCAUGAACGGUGGCGGUUAUAUGGAUGCCACCGAGCUGAUCAAUGUUGCUGCACUGGGUGGCACUUCAGCGGUCAAUAUGGCUGGGCCUGGCUUUUUGCCCAACGUUGGUGCCGGCGCAAAUGUUACAAGUCUGGGCCUAAACAUGCCCAUGGUUACGGCCAAGGUGGAACUGUUUGAGGUACACAAUGAGAUUCUGCAGGCCUACAAUGAGUUUACCACAUGCGCCAAAGGCGUCGAGGUGCUUAUACAGAGCUAUAGCUAUAUGCUCAGCUCACCCAAUACACCCGAGACGGAGACAUUCUGCAAGCGUGUAAUUGAGCAAAAGAACGCAUCGGUGUUGCGGCUGCAGCACAGCCUCAUGUCAUAUGAGAAGCUACAUGAUCUGGUUAUAGCAGAGCUGAACAACUGGCGACGCCAACAGGCGCUCGCCGGCAAUGGCGCUCAGUUCAGCGAGAACAGGCUGGAUGAGAUACAGCGCUGCUUUGACCUGCUCGAAGCGUUUGUCACACUCCUGCUGCAAACUAUUAAGGACGCUUUAUUACAUGUGCGCUUUCCCAACGAUCCGGAUCGCGAGCUCAACUGUCUGUUCGAGCAGGUGCAGAUGUUGCAAAAAAGUCUAGUCCUCUCCGCUUUCAUUGUGGACAAACAGCCGCCGCAGGUGAUGAAAACCAAUACGCGCUUUGCCGCCUCCGUGCGUUGGCUGCUCGGCUCACAAUUGGGCAUACACAGAAAUCCGCCGCAAGUCGAAUGCGUCAUUAUGUCGGAGCUGCAUUCGCAGCGUUUUGUCUCACGUGGCAGCACCAUGGAUGGCAACUUUGCCGGUCAGUCGUCGGGCGAGAUACAGAACUGCACCAGCACCAUGGAGUACCAGCAAAGCAAUCACGUCUUCUCGGCCAGCUUUCGUAAUAUGCAAUUGAAGAAAAUUAAGCGCGCCGAAAAGAAAGGCACCGAGAGUGUUAUGGAUGAGAAGUUUGCGCUGCUAUUCCAUGCCACAGCUACAGUCAGUGAUUAUCAAAUACGCGUUUGGACGCUGUCGCUGCCUGUUGUAGUCAUUGUUCAUGGCAAUCAGGAGCCACAGUCUUGGGCAACUAUUACCUGGGAUAAUGCAUUCGCUGAAAUUGUGCGUGAUCCGUUUGUCGUCACCGAUCGCGUCACUUGGGGCCAACUGUCUGUGGCGCUCAAUACCAAAUUUGGUUCCUGCACUCAACGCGCUCUAACCACCGAGAACUUGGAGUUCUUAUAUGAGAAAUUACAGCGCGAUAAUAUUGCUGGCGAGCGCAAUGAAUGCAUUUCAUGGAAUCAGUUCUGCAAGGAGCCAUUGCCCGAUCGUCAGUUUACCUUCUGGGAAUGGUUCUUUGCCAUUAUGAAGCUGACCAAAGAUCAUUUGCUGUCCAUGUGGCGAGCCGGCCGUAUUACGGGCUUCAUCAACAAGGCCAAAGCCCACGACGAUCUCAUGCGUGCCACCACUGGCAUUGGCACUUUCUUGCUGCGCUUCUCCGACAGCGAAUUGGGCGGCGUCACCAUUGCCUAUGUGAAUGAGUGUGGCUCAGUCACAAUGCUCUCGCCAUGGACCGCUCGCGAUUUCCAAAUACUCAAUCUGGCCGAUCGCAUACGCGACUUGGAAAUGCUGCGUUGCCUGCAUCCAACCGAUGUCAAUGUUUUGCCUUUGGAUCGUGAUUUAGCCUUUGGCGAAUUCUACACACAGCGUUCCGAGGCCACACCCCGCGUCGAUGGCUACGUACCCAGCACGAUACGAGUUCAGGUGCGCACCAGCGGCGAUACGGGCUCCAUCAGUGGAACGCCGCAUCAUUCAAUGCAGUCGCCUCCACAGGAUAGCAUGUCACUGGGAAAUUACUCUCCACAGAGUGGCAUCAGUUAUAAUCCAUCAAGCGUCGCAACUACAUACUAUAACAGAGAUGAUUCUGAUUCAGACGAUAGCAUUGUCGCUCGUGAGCUUGAACUUUAUGUUAACAAUCUCGCGCCAGAUGAUCCCAUGCUGGAUCAAAUAAGUCAAACGAUAUAUUAUGCGAUCGAAAGUCCAGCAUAUCCAGUGCCAUCGCCCUAUAACCAAACGGUGCCAUAUUGAUUGACUCAAAAUAAAGUAUAACUUGUGCGAGAGCUACUUACCGCAAGUGGUGGUGAUUUCCAAAUGACGGACUUUGAUACGAUGCAAAACUUUGUAUAUAACGAAUAUAAAUAAAUAUAUUAGUAUAUAUGAAAUGAAAUAUAUAUAUUUAUGUAUUACAAAUAUAUACAUAUAUAUUCAAAGUGAAAUGUGUAAUUGAACCGAGUCAAAAGUAAUAUUAAACAAAAUCAUAUAAAACGCUUGCAAAAGUGCCGCUAAAAUCGACGUCCAUUAGAUGUUUACAAUACGUAUCCAUGUAUAUGAUCCCACAAAUACACACACACAGACACAUACACAAAGAAACAAAGUUUUUAACGAUCGAACACUUCGACUUUUAAUCCAAAAUCUUGAACAAGAAAAAGAUAGCUAAAUAUGAUAUUGAUAUUUGUUAGACUUGGACUUGCUGGCAUGUGUUUUAUUUUUGCAUUUGUGAAAACGCCAAAUACGAACCAAGAAACAAAAAACGACGAGAGCAAUGCAUGAAAAUCUCUACAACAUUUAACACACUGAUUGAUAAUAUAUAUGUAUGUGUUUUAAAAUAAUGAAUUGUGUUAUUAUGCUUUUCCUUUUGAUGUAAACAAUUUUUUUGAUAGAGUUAAAAUGCAU